Molecule: long non-coding RNA, 1674 nt
Organism: Artibeus jamaicensis (Jamaican fruit-eating bat)
Lineage: Eukaryota; Metazoa; Chordata; Mammalia; Chiroptera; Phyllostomidae
Exons: 2
Source: RefSeq, a predicted model, not a curated record
UCUCUCUCCCGAAUAGAAUAAUAAGGUCAUAAAUUAAAGGAUGAACACUUCCAAACGACUGGGGAUAGGGAAGCCGGUGUAGGGUGUUUCAAACAGAACCUCGGGCAAGCCAGGGGGAAAAAAAAAACACAAAAAAACCCGCUGCCCCAGAAGAGAAACCCGGAGCUGCUGGAAGUUGUGUGCACAGCGAAUUUCUGUUCCGCCUGGGAAGAUGGAAAGGAGCUAAAGAGGAAGGCAGGCCUCGUAGCAAGCAAGCUCAAUGAAAAAUGUAAUUCAGGAAGAGAUGCAAUCAAUGAGGCCAAAACGAAAGAGGAACUGGGCCUGCCUGUGUUCAGAGCAGCAACACCAAAGUCACCAUCCUCAAGUUCAAAACGAUGCAGGGAGAGGGUGGUUGAGGGGUUGCUGGAAAAUAUAUCACCUGCUGGACUUGCCAUUGAAAUUCACUAUCUUGUUUGCUGUUUAUCCUGAGGCUCCUGGAGCUCUCCCGCUGGUUAGGGAGAAAGGGGGCGGUGUAGGAAGAACUGUAGUAAUAAGAAAAGGAAGCUUAGGCGCCCCAGAGAGACUGGGAGGUGUAAAUAAUAUGGGGAUGGGUAUUUGACAGUGACCUCAGAGAAAGGAGAGACAGAACUCGCCCAAAAUCCUAAAAAUUUAGGGGUGUGUGGGGGGGGGGGGCGGUGAACCAGACAUAAGGAAAAUGUCCCAAAAGAAAAAGAUAACAAAAUCCCGGAACUUCUUCCUCUGUGAUGUUGUCUGAAGGAGUAAAUAUGCAGGUUGGCUUUGCCCAGGUCCUCAGGUGAGAAAAUGCUGUAUGCAAAAAACCGGCCAGAGGAUAUUGAGCCUUUGGAUAAGAUGGGCAAACUUGGGGCCACAGAUUUCCUUCAAAAAAGGGGGUGAGGUGGGGCAGAAGACACAUAAGCAGAGGCCGAGUGAUCCUUGUCCCCAAAGAGCCCAAAAGUAUUCGAUCACCUGCACGCUUCUCUGUCCCCCUCUCUCUUUUUUCCUUCCCUGGACCCUACCUUGAAUGGCACUGCUUAGGAGAGGAAAAAGGCAUUUUUAGCCAAAGGCUAUGAAGUAGGACCAAGUCAGAUUCGCUGGACAAUGGAACUCUCUUCCUGAGGCUGCCUGGCGCCGUGAAAUGGGACACUCCCUCAGUGUGUGACUUGGCAGUUUGCUUUCUCUACUAUAAGAAGAGAACAAUGCUAAUAACAGGUGCUAUUUAUAGAACCCUUGCAUGGAAUACUGUACGCACUCACCCAUUUUCUCCUCUGAACUGAAUGAGGUGGUAGAGCGAUGUCCAUUUUACAGAAUGGCCCCCCAGCCAGACCGCCCGCAAGAAAGUGGUAGAGACCGAAUACAAGUUAGGAUCAAGUGUUGGCAGUGCCAGUCCAGUGGCCAAAUCGGGCUCAACGACUGCUUCUUCCGUAAGUAUUGUUUGGUUGGAAUGCAGUCAUGCUCAUUUGGUUAUACAGGGUCCAGCAGAAGUAAGGCCUGCUUGAGUGUGGUUGGUAGGGGGAUAAUAUGGGUGUAAUAAUGUAUAGUUUUAAUUUGAACAUUUCACCGAAAAUGUCAUAGGGUGUGCCUGAGUGUGAUGUUGCUCUGUUACAGAUUGCAUGCUCAUGAUUUUGUAAUAAAAGAUUUUGUAAUAAACAGGGGCGUUACUGGUGCCGGACCCUG